GAAGAAAGUAACUAGACACAUAGAGUUUAACAAUGUUCAUAUCUCAUAAUAAAAAACAACACAAUAUUUCGAAUUUAUUCUUUACCGCCAUUUUACAUUUUAUUUGUUAAGGCGCAUAAUAAUAAAAAUCACAAAAGCUACAAACUUUAAUUAAAUCACACAAAAUGACUUAAUUAAGCAAUAGGAGUCUUAAUGUAAGCCAAAUGAGUCUGAUUAGCAACUCUGCUCAUCGUCUUCAGCUCAUUCGCAAUCCAGCACCUCGACGAAUCACUCUGAUAAAAAUAUCCCAAGCACUUACAAUCCUUACUGCACUUCUCCUCGCACGCUGAUUUCGCCACCGGCGAAUCGCCUCUCGUAUACUUCGCCAUGAAAUGAUCAACCCCCUUCAACUCAAAGUACUUAAACUUUCUACCGGAGCAACUGCUCACGCUCACCGCCGGCGGCUUGCAUUCCUUGCUCCAGCCGGUCAACCCGUUGGGGGUCGGGCACGCCACACACAUGCUGUCCUCGCAGAGACCGAAAUCUCCGCAGCGACCGGGGAGCUGACAUUUGGUGUCCAGCGCCCACGGGUCGUCCUCGGAGAAGACGGUCACGGAGGUCUCCCAGCGCUGGAAUUCGGACCCUUCGGUGUCGUUGGCGAUUAUGAAUGUGUGGAUCUUGAGGUUGCCGUCUAUUUCGAGGCGGAAGUAGGAUAGCGUGGUGUUGAAUCUAGGGUUCUUUAGUGUUGUGACGCCUUCGAAUCCGAGUUCAGAACUGAAGGUGACGUUUUGGAGUGUGGAUUGGUUCGGGAUGAAUAAGGAUCGCGCCCCGGCAAACGAGAAGUACCUGUCGAAAACCAAACGGAAAUAGGUUACGAUUACUGAUCUGGUUGAGUCGCUUUUUUUAACACGUUUGCAAUGUUGUCUCGAUUUAACAUAACACGGCCUCCAAGAUAGAUUAUGUUAAAAUUUAAAAAAGAAUAACAUAGUCUCAAAUCCGACCCACCCACUUGCUCAACUGACCAGUCAGGUUAAGUCCUGUACGGCCCGUUCAAACCGAGUUUUGAGUAACCAAAAAGCCUGGAGUAAAUAGCAUUAGGUCGGGUUUGGGUUCGACCCAAUACCGACGAAACCCCGGUAUGACCUGGUCGGAUCGUGUGCUCAAAACUCACUAAUUCUAUUUUAAUGAUGCAUAUUACUCCGGGGUUUGCAAAAUUGGUGGUUUGGGUAAAGCCCGCACCGAAAAAGGCCAGUUUGACAGAGUGUGUAAGCCAACCCGACCCGACCCGACCCGACCCGAUCUCACCCUUUUUAGGGGAGAGAGUUUUCUAUAAAGACAUUUUUAAUUUCGUAAAAGAAUUAUUCGCAUUUCUCCAACAAUACCUGUAAGGUGUUCGAUUUGCCCCAGUGAAGUAAAGCGCCAAGUCCUUCGGUUCCAAAACGAAGCUGUACGCUCCGUUUUGGUUCAGCUCGACCGACGCUCGGCUGGUCAGUUUCGUCACACCCCCAAUCCGAAGCGACUGCCCCACGAGCAACGUAUCGGUAGGAGAAUCGAAGCUCUGCCACACGAACCCGCUUCUCGCAUCGACCAGCACCAUGUUCCCAUUGUUAAGGAUUCGGAAUCCGGUGACACCCUUAUUAGCCGUGUUGGAUUGCCACGCCAUCCGGCCGUCAGAAUGUGCGAGUACGAGGUUCCCGUUCGCUCCCAACGAGAACGUUGCGUUUUCUCCCACGGGAUUGCCCCGAUUCGCCUCCCACACCCAUCGCAUCAGCGACUCGGACCGGACAGUGCCCAUCCGGAGGGCCAGAGUGUACUGGCCAGGAGUGGUGUUGUAGAAGCACAUCUGGAACGGGGUUGUGGCGAGGGACAAGACGCGGUAGUUUGCUCCAUAUUCGACGAUGUAGUCUCCGAAUUCGCCCGAGUUUGAGAAGGAGAAUCGGGCGGAUGGAGGGACGGUUGCUUCGGUCGCAAGGAAGAAGAAGAAGAAGAAGAAACAGAGGAGGGAUUGCUGCUGAUGCCACAUCUUUAGGUGUUGUUUGGUUAUGUUUUGAAUUUUGUUUUGGUUUGAUGAUUUUGUGACGUUGGAGAUUGUUGAUUUAUAUAGUGGAGGAAUGAAAGGGAAAGGAAGUUUCUUUUUCUUUAUCCAGUCAAGUCAAGAUUGGAUGCUGCAGAGUCUUUGUUUAUAAUGGAUAAUGCUUUGUAUUUCUGCAGGGUGCAAGUUGGCCAUGUUGAAGCUGGGGUUCACUCUGUAAAGUUUGUAUCUUUUUGAAAAAAGUUAUAAUAUUGUCUGGCAUUUUUAUGAUUUGUCUGGCUGCUAUAUUAUGAUUUGUGGGUUGUUAUAAUAUUUUUUGUUUAAUAUAAUAGGGUUCGUUAUUUUGUAUUUGUCGAAAAGUUUUUAAUUUUGGUUAGAAUUUGGCGAAAUUAAGCCUUCAAGUCCGGUGGAUUGGGGAUGUAGCUUUGUGGUGAUAGAGUAUGUUUCUGGCAAUCGGAAUUAACUCAACAAAUUUGAUGAAUUUCACCUCAAAUUUCGACCCGGAAAAUGUAGCCUUAGUUUUAUUGCGAACUAUAUAGUAUAUGGGAAAAGGUUUGGUUGGUGAAGUAUAAACUAUUUUGACCGUGUUGUAUGACUAGUCAUUCUAAUAGUUUGAUGGCUUUUAUGGUUUUGGAUAGUAGUUUGAUGGUAUUUUAAAAGCCACCAAUUUAGGUGUAGAUUUGUACUUCUUUUUAGGUUAAAACCAGGGAUAUGUUAAUAUGUUAUUCUUCGCUUAACAAAAAUGAACACUCAUUGUAUAUGAAUCCAAGAUCUAUUACAGAGUUCGAAUUCGCAAUCGGUCAAUAUGGUCUUUGUCAUUUGAACCGAAAAAACCUACCUACGGCCGGAUUCCCAUCAGUACUCCUUGUUCAUAGGAGAGGGAUGGUCCUGAAUCUCGAACCAAAAUCAUGAUUUAGCACUAUGAUUCAGAACCAGAUUCGGAAAGGAUUAAAAGGAUCAACUUCCGUUGGACGGUUGGACCAGAUUCGAUCGGAUCGCGAAAGAAUAAUCCUUCAUCGUGUUAUUUUCAGCUCCACGAGGACACGUCCAAGGCUAAGCUUCAUUGAAUCAUCGAUCAAGUUAUGUGUUCCACUUUCCAAUGUCGAUGACUAAAGGGAGCUAACUCUCCAAGGCUCCCUCAUCGAAUAUAUCACGAGUUGUUGUUAUAAUUUUGAUCUAAUUUAUAAACAAAGAAUACGAUGAAUGGUUCUAUAGUAAUAAAUGACUAAUUAGAGCACGAUGUAAAUAUUCGUAUCUCAUUUUCGAGUUCGAGCUUAUUUUUAGGUUGCUUAACAAGUGGAGACGAGUUCGAGCCACCAGAUAAAUUAACGGGCCGAAUUUGAACAGGACAAAGCUUAGCUCGGCUCGUCAGCAGAUCUAGCUACAUAAAGUUUAGUGUGUUUUUUUUCCUUUUUGGUUUCCGGAAAUGUCCUUGCUGAAAAUAGUAGCAAGCAUAUCACAAUAGAUAGAUCCGAAUAACAAUUAUUUUGGAUGCGGAGUGACGACGACGCAUAAUGCUACGUAAGCAGAUAGAGAUGCGGGGCAUUUGAUAAUUGAAAGCAAGACGUAGAAGGUUUGCUUUCCUUUUGGCUACUGAUUAAUUAAGCUGCAUGUUCAAACAAGACUAAUAAACACAUCAGAAUCAGAACGACCACAAAAUCAGGACAAGAUCUCUAUCAUCAAAGAAAGAAAUCUGGUGAAAAUGAUAUAUCUUGUUCUAGACAGUACUACAGUCUGUACUUAAUCAACAACGUUGAUUUGUUGUAAGUAAAAAAUCUUCCUGUUCUUAUGUCAAUUCUGUCAGAUUUACGUUCUUAAUUGUUUUCAUAACAGCUGCACCAGCUGGUUGCAGGGCAGCAAAGGGUAUGUGUUUCAUUGAAAGUCAAACGAUUCAGCAGCCACCAAGGGCCACCAAGGGCCACCUUUCCCCUCGCCAUUACUGCAACAAAUGUUGACGGACGGUGGACCAACAAAUAUGCAUAUCACAAUCCAUGUUCUCUGCAUUUACUUGUGGGGUAAAAUACAAUAUAGGAAUUCAUUGCUGUCUUCCAACUACCAAACUUCUUGCACUAUUGUUGAUUCAGUCCACUUGACCACAUGAGUUCUCUACAAAAAGUGUUUGUGCCGAUGCGGAAAUUGGAGCAGUAAUCAGACGUCAAUUUCAGAAGUAACAAAGAUCCGAAUGAAUCAGAAGUAACGAAGAUUCGAACGAGAUUCAUGUGUUGAUACAGCAGGUGUGGGAGGUCGAGUUUAUGCAUGUUUAUAGAGAAGACAACCACGCAUUAGAAUAUUUUGCUAACAUUACGUACGAAAUGCCAUUAGGUGUUUAUGAUUUUCUUAUUUCUGAUCCUUUUCUGGGCUACUGGUUCGCUAUGUGUUUGGAAGGAUUAGGUACCAAAGAAUUUCACAUUAAUUUAAAAUUUUCAUAUAUACCAAACGACCCUUUAUACUCAUUCAGUUAGCUUCUCCCUUCGAGUUUCCCUUUCUGUUGUUACAUUGGUCCCCAAAAAAACAGAACAAACAACGGACAUUUUCGUCCUUAAUCAUCAACAAAUCCUUUUUUCUCAACUUGAUCACCAAAUUCGACAAAGAAUUUUACUUACUACCUGAGGACAAGAACCCAUGUCCUUGCUCGUCCUCUGAAAACGGGUGACAAAUCUUUCGAAGCGCGUCGUACCUCUUGAGAUCGAAGUUGCGAGUUUUCAUCAACUUCCUCUGCUUAGCCCGGAACCGGCUCUCGAAGAACCCUUCAAACGUCGGCUCCCUGGACGUUCUAAGGAAGAAACCGUACCCGGCCAUCACGUACAUUGAGGUGACGUAGAAGCAAAUGGGCUCCAUCACGUCCCACGAGAGCUCCCAGAAGGUUAGCCUCAUGAACCCUGCGGUUUGGAUGACUAGGUAAGCCAGUCCUCCCCACAGCUCUCGGCGGACUUGGGCUCUUGCUUUCUCGUCGAUCAAUGAUUUCUGCUGUUGUAGCUGUUCGAAUUCUUUCUUUCUUGGGUCAUCUGGGUUUGUUGCUGGGAAAGGGAUUAGUCCUCCGAUGACUUUGACAACCUGUAAUUUGUAUGCGCAGAGAAGGGAAAACAAAGCACAAAUGGUUGGGGUAAAAGCUUGCUCCAUGUAUCACUCACUGUUUGGAUGUUGAAUGUUUUAUUUCGAUGAAUGUAAUGGCAAUCAGGAAGAAUGAUGAACCAAAUUCCAAAAGUUACAGAAAAAAGGCAAUGAAAAGAAGAAAAACAAACACAAUGAGCCAUAGAAGUUGAAGAAAAGGUGUGAUGAACUACAAGCUAAUUGUAAAAAUGAGUUCGAACUGUGAAAGUGCUUACUGGGAAUUUUAGAACAAACACGAUCAAUGAGCAUAUAUGGGCUUUAACGUCGGUUUCAAAGCGCCACAAGACAUAAACCCACCGGCGUUAUUACGAACAUGUCAGGCAGGAUAAGAACUGAAGGAAGAACAGUAUCUUAACCAAAAGGGCACAGACAAAUGCAGAGUGGAUCAUAGAGAUUCUAAUGGCCACCCACUCCUUCAAUCCCCAUAAUCUAAGCUCAUACUCUCAGUUUUCCCCUCAUCUGCAGCUAUCAUCCAUACCCUUUCUUAAUAAACUCUUCUGACAAUCUAUCCUCAUACCCAAACCCCUCUUUCAACCCUCCUUUUCCCCAGACUAUCAACAGCAGGAACUGAUCAUCUGACCGAAAAUCGAACAAGUCCUCCAAUGAGCUAAAGGACACAAGGGGAUCCAAAGCCUAAUCUAACAAGGAUGAAUUCUUGACUCUAUCUAAAUCAUUCCACAUACUUCUGAAUCUAACCCUGUAUCCAAGUUCUCACUUCCCCUCUCAUAUAGAUGAACUUGACUAUGGUCACCAAAUUCGAUUCACCUAUGUUGAUCCAAAUGGUGAUAGUAAGACUUAAAUGGAUUCAAAAAAGAGAGACACAAUCAAGCCUUACUAAGACCACAUGCACCCAAAGAGAAAAACAUUAAUUGAAAGAAUCAAUCUUUGUCACUCUGGAAACAACUGAAGUUUAUUGGGGGUCCCUUCUGGCCUGCCGAAAGAAUAAAAUAGAGAAAAAAACAUCAGUUUUCGGUAAUUUGAAGUUUUGAAAGAAAGAAUUUUUCAUAUAAUCUCUCGGUUGUGAUUAUCUGGUUGUUAAUUUUGGAACCCUAACCCUCAGAGAAGGACCGAUCCAAUCUCUGUCAAAACAAAUUAGUGAAACAACAAAAAGGAUGCCAUGAAAUUGCAGAUUGUUCUUUCAUCAUUCAACAAUUACAAAAUGGAAGUCCUUUUUUACCUGCUUCGGUUUGAGGAACACCGCAUCUCCCAAUACAAGCACAGUUCCGGACUCGUCAAGCGUCCGAGCCAUCCGACUCCCUUCCUCCGGAUCCGAACACACUUCCCCGCAGAUCCGGACGAACUCCGAUCGGAGCAUCCAGUCUCUCCCCGCCGAAUCAUUCAGCCUCGAUUUCACCGUCUCCAGCCGUGCCACCCGGAGCAGCUUCCUCGCGUCGUCGACCGUUACCACCUCGUCCACAUCCGGCUCCGGUUUCUCGAUCGGAGGAGGUCGGAGGCCAUCUAAUCGGAUCCGAUCCCUGCCGACGCCGAACUCCCGGAGCUUCUCCGUCGUAAGCAACCGACGGAUUACAGAGCUGUCUCCAGGAUCGGGGGCGAUGCUCGCCUUACUCCGAUACUGAGGGAUCCGGCGGCUGGUUAAGGAUUGGAUCGUCGACGAUCUGGGGAGCUUGAGGAGAAGAUCAGCUAGGGAUUUCUUGGACGCCAUCGUUGAUUUUUCGUUCUUCCUCCAAAGUUUUCGGGUGCCCGAAAUGAAUAGUGGAUGACCCGAUUGUAGAUCUUUAAAUGUUUAUAUAGGUCUCCUGAUAAUGAGGAUUAUGACGUUAUUAUGAAUAAAUGGCAUAUUUCUGGCAUAAUUAGGAGAUAUAUUUUUUCCAUUUAAUUCUUAUCUCUUAAGCUUUAAUUAAGGUUGCAAAUUGCAAUGAAUUUUUCAAACGGUAUAAUAGGUAUUUAUUUCCUAUCAUUAUCAUCUAAUUCCAACUAAUUACAACUGUCUAACGCAUAUGUUAAACGGUUUUCAUGAUGAAUUAAUCGAAUUACAAAAUAAUCACAUUAUGAAAAUAUUAAAUUAUAAAAUUGAUUAGAGGUGAUAUAAGGGUUCACACACAUCAAAAUCAACUCAAAACCACUCAUCAUUAUAUUAUGAACGGGUCAGGUGGAAAGUGGUUGGACCAAAGAUUAAUAACUAUUUAUUUAAUUUAUAAUGAACUCAUAAAUUCCUUUCUUUUAACGAGUAAAAAAAUUUAUUUUACAACUUCUCAUUGCCGAAUAUAAACAUGAUUACAUAAGAUUAAGAGAUAAACUCUUACACGCACGACAUCAACCCACCUCAUUGCGACUCACUAUUUUGAAAACUCAUACUAAUCAUCUACUUCAAAAUAAGUAUUAUCUUAAUCUAACUAAAUGGGUUCGGUUGGUUAGUCUAAACGAUUGGCCCGAGUCGUUAUGAAACCCUAAUCUCGGGUUGAUUAACAUUCAAUAUAAUACUUUUCAUACAGGCUAGCUCCGUGUUGGUAUUAUUGGCCCAUUCUCAAUUAUUAGCUUUAGCCCAACAACUAAAAACGGCCCAGAAAAGCUUUCAAACUUCAUUUCCCGCCUCCACCGGGAAGAAAAUUCGAACUUCCUCCUUUUUAGCUCUUCAAAAUUCUUCAGUCUCAAAUUCAAAAAACUCCAUCGUCGAGCUGAUCCAUUUCUCUCCACCGCCUCUUUCGCAUUCUACAUUUCCAGCGUUAAUCAGCCGCUCCCAGAUCCGUGAGUGAACCUUCCCCAACUUUUUGAUUCGUUUCAAUUUGAUCCCUGAGCUAGGUUUCCGAUUUUUGGUCGAAUUCCUAAAGUGCGUUCUCUAGGGUUCUUGACUUCAAUUCAUUGAGUUAAGGAUGAGUGGAGAUGAAAACUUUGGAGCCCUAAGGGAUCUGACGAACCAGCAAUUGAAAAGAGGGAUUUCGUCGGAUUCAGGUCCCGCUAAGAAGUUGUGUUUAGGAGUUGAGAAUUCGGUGGGAGAGAAACGUAGAGAUUCAGAGCUUCAUCGUUGGUGAAAUUGGUUGCGACGUUUCUCAUUGUGGAUCUAGCAGGACUGGUAGUGAUGACGAAGUGAGAAUUACUUAUAAUGCCUCACUGACUAAAUCGGUUGAAGAAGGAUUUGGUAGUGGUAGCAAAGGUCGUGACUGUCGUAGUUCUGACGAUUUCAAUGGUGAGGAAACUAGGCAUUGUGAGAGUUCAGUGUUGCAGAGUUUCAAACUCUCCGGGAUUGAUAGAUGCACAAGUCAUGAAGAAGGUGGUGCUGCUGAGUUCCUGAAAACAUGUAUUUUCUUGUUCGUUUUGUUUGACAGGUCUGUGUUAGCUCCCUCGUACAUGUUUUACAGUUUGCUUCAUUUGAUUGAUUGAACCCUGUUUCUGAAACUAAUCAGCAAUUUAAUCCGUAUAACCGUGAUAGAAUUGUCGUGUUUAGCAUACUGUUUUAGAAUGAUUAUUCAUAAGUCCACGCCUCUUAUAACUGUGGUAUUGAUCUAUACUUUGUUUUGUUUUGUAUAUGUGGUUAUGAUGAUCAGCUGCUUUUAUGUGGUCGGACCUUCACUUCCAGGACAUCAAGGGUCGAUUGUCUUGUAAGUUUUGUGGAAGAAAAAUAAAUCCUCACAACAAUUCGUGAACUUGUACUUCAUAAUAGCUGAGUUUUGAGUCUGUUGAUUUCUUUCUAAUUGUAUAGUUUUGAAGAAGAGCAAGAAAGAAGCUAGCAUGGUGAACAAACACUUAAGCGGGAGGCCGGCUGAAAUCCACAAACAAGGAAACUUCAACAUAUCAUGUCAAUGGAGAUCUCUGUUUCAGCACAUGGAGGACAUACUUGUUCAUGAAAGCAGCCAGCUUGUGAGUCCAACCAAACUCCCAUUUCUUUGUUUUGUUCAUCCGUAUUCACUCAUGUUACAGUUCCUGUGAUUGUAAAACCAAUUCAGUUUGCCAAGGGUGGCUGAUAUAGUAUGGGUGUAGGUUUGGAUUGAGUGUGGUUUCCUAAUCUAGUCGUGACUUUGACCACCCGAAUAAGAGGAAAUCGAAUCACAUUAUUGAUGAUGACCACAAAAAUCGUGAUUUUGCAAUAGACAUGAUGUCGAUGAUAUACCCGUUGAGGAAUGUUAUAUAAACCAAUUUUGACUACGUAUUAGAGUCUUUGACCGAAAGGUCAUGUUAGCCCGUAAGAUAACCAAUUCACUAGCACAAGAGUUGGUUUCGUGGUGAAAUUAUACAAACUUCAAUUGCUUUUCAUGGCUUUUCAUUUAAAGGGAAUCUUUGUUAACAAAUUGCCUUCUUCUUUUAAUUUUCCAGGAAGAGAACUUCCUUGCAGUGAAAGACUUCAGAGAGAGUUGCAAGAUGGACAUUGUGAGAACUGGGUUACCUUAGUUUACACCUUUGUUCUGAUAUUGUAACAUUUUCGUAAUUCUUUUCUACCAAUUCGAGUUAUUGGAAUGACGUAACUCAAUCAACAUAAGAGGUUGUUUAGCCCUAUGUGGAAGUAAUGUGCUUGUUCAACAAAGAUGCUGUCCAGAUAUUUGUUCAGAGUCUGUUUGUUCUGUUGAACAAAAUGGUGGAAAGUGGAAUCCUUUUUGUCAAUUGGCAGGAGUUGACUUGUGACACGCCACCUAUGAUUUUGGGUUGUGUCACCUAACAGCUUGGUCUGGCCUUAGAGUGGAAGUUUCUUGAGUUGAAUAAACACUGUUUGUCUGUCAAAAAGUUUUAGGUACAUGACAGUGAGUUUCUGGUGGUUUGGUUUGGUUUGGAAUAAAGCUCUGAAAAGAAGUAAACUUGUAUGGUUAAGGUUCUAUCUUCUAAUAUAGAGUUGUCUUCCAGAAGGCUCACUUGACACAGUUGAAUUUCAGUUUCAAACCGAUUUGUUACAAGUUGACUUGGACAUCGAUGAACCUAGAAUCCGAGUGAUUGUAUGAUUUGACCACUAAUCCGAAUAACUCAUGAUCCAAUCGAAGACCGAACCAUAAUCUUGAUGAACCGUAUGAAAGGAGGCAAAAGUUGUCAAAAGUUGAUUUGACACAUCCACUGGAAUGUCGACUUACCGAAUGUAAACAACUAGUAACUUGUCUAACUCGAAAAAUCGAUGAACUUCCUGAAUCACGUAGUUUUGUGAUCUGAUUGACCCACAAUUUGCAACCCGAAUAAACGAACCCCUUGGCAUGCCUAACCAACUAAGCUUGACAGCUCUGCUUGUGUGUAUUGGUUGAUUUACAUGUUGGCAAUUGAGUGAUGAUGACCCUUAAUUUGCUUCAAAGAUGAACCAAAGAAGUUUGGUGUGCCAAGCUUUUUGAGAUGUUGACUUUUUUACAUAGAAUAAUAAUAAUACAAUGCACUCUUUGUAAGUUGACUUCACAAACUAUAUGAUAAUAAUCAUUGCCCACUUAGUUGGCAAUAAUUUGAAACUCCAAUAAUUCCAUCUUUCCAAGAUUCUCACCGGAUCUCGGAAACGAUGAAAAUUCUAAUUUUGAUGUUGAUGUCGACAUCAAGAUGUGAUUUUCUCGUACCACCUUGUACAGAUGAAUAUGUCUCAAAAUUUGGUGGAUAUGCAGCGACCCUCCAUCGAUUGUGGAUCUUUGCUGGCGGCUGUGGAAACUUCGAUUUGAUGCUGAUGCCGACAUUAGUCCCAUGGUUUGUUGAUGCUAAUGCUGACAUCAAUGCCACAGUUGGAAGUGGGUUUAUGUUGCUCUUUCUUGUUAAGACGGUGCGUACAAUGACCAUUAUUUGAUACUUUGCAUAGGCGUUUUGGAUUACUAUGGAGUUGUGUACUUUGAAUACGUAGAGUUGCAUCGAUCGCUAUUAGAAACCGGAAAACUUCGUUUGGUGGACGCGUCAUCCUGAAUCAGAAUUUGACAUUUGUGAUAAGGUCAAUGACUCAGAGCUACAUAACCAAUAUUCUGGAGAAUAGCAUGAACUCAACCACCACAUGUUUAUUUUAUCAUAUCAUCUCAGUUUAAUAUUUUUUUCUUCUUUAGCUGACGUCGCUAAUAAUUAACAAAAUACUUGGAGAAAUUAUUUUAAUCUGCACUAACAAAAUUCGUUAUCUGUAUAUAUAUAUAUUUGAUGGGAAGCCACUAUUAUUGUGUUAUUAGUAUUGGAUCGGAUUGUUCUGACUACGAAAACCUCAAAUUUCUCAUUCGUCUAGUUCGGUCUAUGUAAUCAUUAAAACUAACGAUUUGAACAGUCCGGACCGGUUUUGUGGUUUGUUGUCUCAUUCUAAGAGGUUAACCUCCAUUUUCCGUAUGAAUGGUACGGUCUACAUAGGAUUGUCAAGUUACAUAGUACACUAAGGUAUAUGAAGUAGAUAGUAUAAUGUACUGUAUUGUUGACAAUGUUACGUACUUUAAGAUCGUAUAUAAUUUUCCAAAUGCAGUCUAGCGAAUUCCUUUCAAAUUGUAUAUCGUAUCGAGAUUGGUACAUAUCAAACUAUGUUACAUAUGCCUGGUUAGUGGUGGGUGUUGGUCGAAUUGAUCUCAUCAACAAAGAGUAGUCAAUAGACUUUAAGUUUGAAAAUGUUCAACACUAGUAAAACCUUAAAAUUUUAUUUUUUAACUUCAUUUGACUAUUAUUUGAAGGACUUAACAUGACAAAAUCUUAAUUUUUAGUCAUUCUCAACAUGCAUGUCAAAUAUUAGCCAAUUUAAAAAAUUUCAAUUUUCAUGUCAAAAUUGGUCAAUUUCGUGUGUUACACUAUGGAAAUUUGACCAAUUUCACAAGAAAAAUUCAAAAUUUUCAAAUCAACUAAUAUUGGACAUGCAUGUUGCCUAAAAAUCAAGUUUCACCUAUGAUAACCCCUCUAUAGGGCUGGAAAUCGGACGGGUUCGGGUACCCAUACCCGUUUUGAGCGGGUAAUUGUACCCGCAGGUGGUAUGAAUGUUUAGCGUAAUAGGUUUGGUAAAUUUUGGGUAUAGUAGUAAGGUUUAUUCAUAACGGGUAUUUCGGGUACCCUUCGGGUAUACCCAAACGAGUAUCGGGUACCCGCCGGCAGAAGAAUAUGAUAAUUUUCAAACCAAACUUCGAACCCGUACGAGUAUCAGGUACUCAAACCCCACUUAAGUUCGGAACAAGAUCGAGAUUACCUGAUACCUGUUACCCAAACUUCCAACUCUGACCAUUAAAUAAUGGCCAAAUAAAAUUAUAAAUCAAUUUUCCUCGGUUACUAACUUACUUCAUAUAAUUUUCCAAAUACGGUCUAGCUAAUACCUUUCAAAUUGAAUCAUAUCAAGAUCAUUACAUACCAAACUAUGUUACAUAUCCACUCAUACCUCAUUAGUUGAUUAACCUCUAAUCAACCGGAUUAAUUAUGUAUUACUAAAUGAUCACUUGGCUUCGAUCCUAACCACACUUUCACAUAUCCAUAAUUCAACCGACUCGAUUUUGAUUAAAUUUUAUCAGAGUUUCUUUAUAAAACCAAAUAAGUGGUUAGUUCGGCUUGAUUACUGAUUGGCUCAGGAUGUUGGUCAGGUAGGUUAAGAUUUGACCAAUCAUUGACUAAUAACCAUAUUUUGACUGAUGACCCGACACUUAUUUUAACUAUAAUCUAACCGAAACUCUCAUUAGCCGGAAAGAUAGCUUAUCGAAAACAAUUAAAUUCAUCAAUGAAUAAAAUCGUUUGGCCAACCCGCAAAGUACUAUACCGUAUGUCCACGUGCGGGAUAGCUCAGGUGGUAGAGCUGAUUGAUGACCUGAAAGUCCAUGGUUCAAAUCCAAUCACACUUAACAAAUGGAAACCCAUAGAAUAUUUAAUGUAUUCUUUCUUGUUGGGUGACUCUAUUGCGGUUGUGCCUCCUCGGAUUCCCCUGUAUGAUUUGUCCCCUUCAACAUGCCCUUGCGGAUGGUGGAACAAUGAUAUUCAGACCUCCUUGACUGAACUUUAUGUUUUGAAGCCCUUAACUCUUCAUAAUUGAAGACUUUGUGAUUGAUGUUUCCUACAGGUAUUUGGCAAAUAAACAUUAAGAGCAAUAUUGAGUUGAUGUUUUCCUGAUUUACUUAUCAGAGUACGCGUUGUAAAGCUAGCGAUACAUCUUCAAAAGUCCUAACCUCUAGGAUUACUUAAUCUUCAACUUUAAAUAUAAAUUAAUUAUCGAUCUGCUAAUAAAACUGAUCAUUCCAUACACCAUUUAUCACAAAAAAACUAUAACUCUAUAAAGAGAAACAUAUGGAAUACAAGUAGUAGUGUGUAACGUAAAGAACGGGAGGUGAAAGUGGGGGUGUCGGGUUGGUUGGGGAAUGGGUUGGGAGCAUGUGAUGUUAUGGCAAUGACUUUGGAGUUUGGAGUUAUUAAUGAAUGGAUUUCACAUGAAAUAACGUACCUUCUUCACAUGCUUCUUCCUUCUUCCUAAAUUUAUGUCCCAUAUCUGCCCCCCACAACGUUCCACCAAGGCACUAACUAGGGUUUGCGAUAACUGGACAGGUUUUAUUCUCGUUUGUUAUUGAUCUUCUAAGCUGAUUAUCACUCGAUUGCUAGGCCAAAUAUGAAUAUAGUUACCAGCUCUACAUUUCCAGAAGCAAACUUAAAAAAAAAUUGUUAUAGCAACCGCUAGUACAAUUUGUAUGACGUUUAUAUCGGAGUUGUAUAAUUAUAAAAUAUAUAUAUUCUUAGUAUGAGUUUGUACAUCGUUCAUAUAUAUUAUAUUAUGACCGGAUAUAAGAUAAUUAACAACGUUUGAAGUUUUAUUAGGUCGUCUAAUUAAUUACUAUUCUUUUUAUCGGGACCGCACUCGCCUAUAAUUUAAUUUGAAAUUUUUGGGUGAUGUAAAUCGUUUGAUUGUGACCAAAUUUUUAUGGCUGAAAGCACUCAAGAACAUUGAGAGACAACGAUGUAACGUUUGUUAUGAUGUUAAGCUAUUAUUAUAUCUUUUACGGCCGUUAUUUCUCUUUAAUUCCCAGCUUUUGAACAACAAACAAAACGGAGGCCAAAAAGACACAUGAAAUUAAAUAUUUUGUUUUUAUUUAUUUUUAAAACUGUAUCGGUAUGUAUGGUAAAAAUAGAAACAAAUUCAAUUGGAAAUCGGUCGUUUUUAAAGUGUGUUGUCUUGAAUUCGGAUGGUUUUAUUAUUUUGGAGAUCGGUCAAACAGUUGCAGGAGGCUUGAUUUAAGAUUCAGCUUGUCUCAUUAUUUGUGUUUUUCAACUUAAGCAUGCAUUGGUGUGUUUUCGAUCACCUGAACAGAGUUAAAGACUGUUGUAACUGACCUUAAUAUAGUUUGGGAGAGAGGAUAUUGAAGAUCACACAGAUGCGGCUCGACUCUUAUUGUGCAUUGCAAUUGAUACGGCAAGAGACAAGGGCGAUUCACCAGGACUAUGUUGUUGUGUAUCAAAUUUAUUAGUUGAUGAAAAGGGCGUUAAAGAUCGAGUUUAUUCAUGUUUAUGGAAAAGACAAUCAUAUAUCAGACUGCCUUGUUGGUAUUGAAUACGAAAGAGUUUUAAUAUUUAUUCUUUUCCUAUUUUUAGUCAUGGCUUGGUGUACUCGGCGUUGCAUGCGGGUAAGUCAUUGAGAAUAUUUAUCAUUUACUUGAAGUGAAAGAAAAUAUUUAUGAGGCAAAACCUUACCGAUUCUUACGAUAAAGCGUGCAAGUAAAUCAUUUUCCACAAAUAAUCAUUUCCCCUUCGAGUACAAAUUAAUUGUUGACGUUAAAUGGAGCGUGCCGCAACAAUGAAAACGACAAAUCAAUAAAAUUUGAAAUGAAUAAAAAAUUACAAAAACAUGUUGAAUACUGACAGCCUGACAUCCAAUUAACCUGGUCAACAUAUGUCCCAACAAAUCGCAGACAACCACGUGUACGCUCCAGGUGCCGGAUCCGCCAGGUGUCAGUCCAGCGGGCACGUUACUAAGUCUCGUUGGUGAAAUCGAAAGUUAAAGCAUGAUUACACGACAAAACUAAUCUUAACAGAUUCAAUUAACCAACAAAUCUAACGCAAGUUUGUUCCUCAUGUAAAGUAAUUGUGCCGUAAAGUGCGCAUAUUUAUUUUGGAUGGUUAUAAUUGGUACACAAGCUGAGUUUUCGAGAAACAAGAGUUAACAUGGUUUAAACCCAUAAAAUCGAUCAAUCAACAAAAAGAACGAUAAAGCUUUAUCAUUAUAAAGACGGUUUAGUGAAUAGUUGUAUAAAAUUUUAGUGAUAUGGAGGUUUUUAUGGAUAUUAAUGGAUCGUUUUACAACUGGGUGGAAUUGCAGUUGGGGGUAGUGUUAUCCGCAAUCCUCAAAGUAUUUGUCUCAAGACUUUCAUGACAAAUUUGAGAGUCUAUACAAUUACGAGAGAAGAGUUUCGUGCAGCUAUCAACGGCCUUCGUAUCGCUUGGGAUAGUGACGACAUGAAAAUUAACCAACAAGUUGAUUCAAUGGUCAUCGUCGUCUAUGCUUUUAAGGACUCCAUUGGCGAUGCUCGACGCUCAGGAAAUAUUAUCGAGCUAAAAGCUCCUCAUUCCGUCAAAACUGGGAUGUUCGAAUCACACACACUUUUGAAGAAAAUAAUCGAAUUUGUCAAUCUCCUUACCUAUCUUAGACACUCUUUUCCUUUUAAUUUUCAUUUAAUUACUUUUUUUAUUAUUUAAAUCCAACCACACCCUAUUAAGAUUUCAUUUCUUUUGAUAUAUUCCACAUUAAUAAAAUUGAACACUUGUCCACAUUUUUACCAAAAAAACUAACCGGUUGAACCAACCGGUCCAAUAAUCCAAUAUGUUUCUUAAUCCAAACAUUAAUAUAUAGUUUUUGAGGUUAAUUACCGUGAAUGCCCUUGGGGGCAGGUGGACGGGUUCUAGUGUAUAUAAAUGGAGUCGGAAGCAGCUCAAAGAACACCAGAGCGUAAACACCAAACCAGAAAAAAAAAAUAGUGAGGCUUUCAUCUUCUCUUCUCCUAUCUUCUUUCCCUCAGCAACCAAGCACCCAUCUUUUCCUUCAUCCAUUCCGUUUCUGUGAUUCCUCUGUUCCUUUUUCAUAUCUUCACUUUCUCUUCCUCUGUUUUCAUAACCCCUCUCUUUUUUGCAUAACCAUGGCUGCAGAGCUAAUGGAGGCACUAGAACCUUUCAUGAGAUCCCCACCUUCUUCUUGUUUUUCCCUAAACCAGCUGAAUCCAUCUCAAAUCCUCCAGAUCCAAGCUCAGCUCCAAACCCAGAUGACCAAUUACAAAACCCCCCUGGCAGUUACUCCUUCCCCGAUGAAGCGGUCCGCGGUUAAGCCGCCGACGAAGCUUUACCGGGGAGUGAGGCAGCGCCACUGGGGGAAAUGGGUAGCCGAAAUCCGGCUACCCAAGAACCGAACCAGGCUCUGGCUCGGAACCUUCGAAACCGCCGAGGAAGCCGCUCUCGCUUACGACCGAGCCGCUUACAUGCUCCGAGGCGAUUUCGCUCGGCUCAACUUCCCGCAGAUGGUUCACACCGGCGGGCAGUUCAUCAAAACCCUGCAUUCUUCCGUCGAGGCUAAGCUCCAGGCUAUAUGCCAGAGCUUGGAGGAGAAGAAGAAAACAGGGGAGGUGGAAAACAGGGCAUCCCCUGUUAAAGUUGAGGAAGCAGAGGUUUCUUCUUCUUCUUCGAGUUCGAAUUCGAAUUCCGAGAUUUCGUUCCUCGACUUCACCGAGACGGAAUCGAGAUGGGGAAUCGGAGAGACUUUCGGGUUGGAGAAGUUUCCUUCUGCAGAGAUUGAUUGGGCUGCUAUCUGAAUUUUUUCUUCAAUUUUUAUUUAGGAGCUUUCUGCAAUGGAGUUUUUUUUGACAGUUGCAGAAAGGGAUGAACUUUUAUUUUUUACUUUUUCACCUUUGGUCCGAAGUUGGGUUAAUUUUUUUUACCUGCUUUGUGACGGUAGAAGAAGACAGGGUUUUACUUUUUUAUCCUCUGUUCUUCCAUGUUAUUGUUCUCUGUUUGUAGCUUUUCCUUUGGGGGUCUUUUGGGGUUUCAGAGCUGGUAACUUUUUACUACCAGCUUUGGCCUUCUCAUUUUUACCUUUUUACUGUUGAUUUUCUUUUUAUGUCGUAGCUUUGUAAUUAUUAUUUAUUAAGCAGUGCCUUUAGUUUGUGUAAAUUGUCUUUUAGUACAUGUUCCUUGCUUGUUUGGGUGUAAGAUGUUUGAGAUCCAGUUGAUUGGGGGACCUCUCAACUAAUUUUCUUUUACUAUAACACAAAAUACGUCAUAAUGACUAAUAGAUCAAAACAGCCCGAUAUAAAAUAGGAAAAGAAUAAAUAUCAAAAUGUAUUUUUAAUGCGAAUAGGGUUAAGUUUUCAACAUGAAUAUGAUUUACCAUGGUAAAAUAUUAGUAAAUCUUUCCAAUGUUUGGCGUAUGAACUGCAAUGUAUAUUGAUAAUGAUGGACACAAGAGGGCUUCUCGAAGCCGACCUAGCCCAUUUUCAAAUUUUUAACUUUAAUACUAUGUACUUUUUAUUAUAUUUAUAGACUGGUUAGCAUAUUUUUUAUAUUCAGUUUAAUAAUUUUUAAUUUUUAUAUAAUUCAACUUAGUGUGUUAAACUAUCUUAAAUCUAUCAAUCGAUUAGUCCAUGCUUAUGUUUUCACAUUGUGGUUAGAAUUUAGGUGAGUGACAAAUUGAUUAGUCUAUGAUUAUGAUUUGAAUUGGUCGUAUAUGUGGAUUCAUGGGGCCAUGCAAAUCUUUGAAAUCCAAAGAUAAAUUCAAAGGAGAGCAAUCAAGGAGUACUUUCUGCCACUAGGGCAGGCCCAUAGGGACAAUUUAUUGGUUCAAUUUGCAUACUAAAAGUCAAGUUUACUGGUCAUAAAUGAAUGAGAAAAAUAGGAUUUUCAACACUUCAAGCAAACUCCAAUCACCACUCAAAUAGGAAGAAGUUUUUCCCCGAUAUGAAGUAAAUAUCUCGAUAUUCAUAUUAGUUAUGUGGUGGGUUAUAUAUAUGAAGAAAGUUUGGUAUAAUGUGCAUAAUGUGAGGUAUUUUAAUGUGAGGUAUAAACAUCAAAGGUGUUUUAGCUCAAGAUACAAGACUCAAAACUAAAAUCAAUCAUACAACCAUAGUAGAAUGGGUCGUAUUAAAGCAAGUUGAAUAAUAAGGAAAUUUUUAUUCGUUAGAUAUUCAUUGAAAAUCGAGUAACAUCUGAUUAAACAAGGUCAAAUCAGAUCGACUAAUACAUACAAUAUCCAAAUUGUUAUUGUUAAUCCCAUAUGCUAACCAAGUUUCCACUUUGACCAUCACUUUGCAAUGACUUGAAUUAUAAGUAACUUAGAUCAACAAUUAGUCUUAUUUCACUAUUUUUAAUUUAGAAAUCCUCAAAUCACGGUUGCUCAUCAUGUGCAUUGGUCGCCAUCUUCCCAUCAAUUUGCGUUGUGGUCCAAAUGCAAUUGUUAAUAUAGUGGGAAUUGUUUAAAAAAAUGAUUUCGAUGCAAAAUUAAUAUGGUUUUUCGGAGUAGAUUGAAAAAAAUAGAAAAUACUCGUUUGUAGGAUGUAAUAAAUUGAAACCCAAAAUCUCUAACUCAUUAACACAUAAUUCUGUCAUUAGAAUAAUUUGGUUAAUACUAUUUUUGUCAUGAUUACAUUUUUCAUCAAUUUAUAUGUAAUUUGAUCAUGGUCAUAAAUAAUAUUUAUAAGUAUUUAAAAAAUUAUACAAAUUGUUUUUUCGACUGAAUGAUACCAAUUUUCAUUUUAUAUCCUCGAAUUAUUUUUCUCCUGGUCGAAAAGCAAUGUAUAUGUGCAUUAAACAUUACAACCAAACUAGUAUUUGUAAUAACUAUUACUUGUAUAUGUUCAAAUAGGUUGUAUUUUAGUAGUUGUAGCAUCUGAUUUUGUUUUUAAGCAUUUUAAUUUUGAAGUCCGAAAUGCACAAUCAUUUCAGUCAUGUGAUGGCAUCACUAACCUCGCCUAAGCUAAAGGCCAACAACCCCGAAAUUUAUCCAAUAACAACAUCACUAAAUGUAUCUUUCAAAAAGAUUUUUCGUUAUAAAAAUAAUAAUUAUCUAUAUCUAAAACUACAACAACUAAUACUAAAUAAACAUCAAACUAUCUGAAUCUGAAACCGUCCUAACCUCAAACUUCUUUCAUGCUUUAUUUUUAUUUUAUUCUCCAAAAUAGCGGUGGUUGUUUUCCCACUUUAUAUAAUUCAGAAAUUCCUCCCUUUAAAAGGUUCUGGUUGGGCCAUCACGAAUCCAUCCAAAAGCUUGAUCCAUGAAGCUUCUUCACCUCUCCUUCUUGGAGAUUUCUUUCUUUUUUAAAGAUUCCCAAAAUAAUUUGAUUGAUGAUUAAAAUGCAACAAGGUGACAACAAGUGGGUGUGAAUGGGAUGGGAUUUUGGAAUUUUCAACUUUGUUUGCAAUCCUUGUUAAAGAAGGAUUCCUCAGAGAAUAUAUGCAUAUGAUCUUCAACUUUAGUACUCAACACUUUUGUCACUUUACAUGUAGUUAUGACGUGUGAGUUAGUUUCAAAAGAUUACUACUAUGUACAUUCACACUUCACCACAAGUUAGCUCUUGAGAUUCUUCAUUUUGUCUUUGGAUCUCUAUUGAUAGAUUCAAAUGGUAUGAGAUUUUGAUCGAGUCAGAUUUAGCGAAAUCUAAAACGUAUAUAAGAUUAUAUUGGUUUAUGUAUGAUUUGGAUUCGAUGGAUGGUUGAAUUGUGGGGUCGAAAAAGCCCUUUCCUCAUAUUCUGUUGCUACUUUGUUUUUGGAGUUUUGGAACC
RNAcentral lists this long non-coding RNA (19705 nucleotides) under Linum usitatissimum (flax). RNAcentral describes it as "long non-coding RNA (LUSI_LNC007891)". The record is from RNAcentral. Lineage: Eukaryota; Viridiplantae; Streptophyta; Magnoliopsida; Malpighiales; Linaceae.